UGGGGAAUAUUGUGCAAUGGGCGAAAGCCUGACACAGCAACGCCUCGUGAAGGAUGAAGUCCCUCGGGAUGUAAACUUCGUAAGAAUAGGAAGAAUAAAUGACGGUACUAUUUGUAAGGUCCGGCUAACUACGUGCCAGCAGCCGCGGUAAUACGUAGGGACCAAGCGUUGUUCGGAUUUACUGGGCGUAAAGGGUGCGUAGGCGGCAUAUCAAGUCACUUGUGAAAUCUCCGGGCUUAACUCGGAACUGCCAAGUGAUACUGAUGUGCUAGAGUGCAGAAAGGGCAACUGGAAUUCUUGGUGUAGCGGUGAAAUGCGUAGAUAUCAAGAGGAACACCUGAGGCGAAGGCGAGUUGCUAGGCUGACACUGACGCUGAGGUACGAAAGCUAGGGGAGCGAACGGGAUUAGAUACCCCCGUAGUCCCUGAGCGGGCUGGCAAGGCGCAU
This 447-nucleotide ribosomal RNA is filed under the name uncultured bacterium. RNAcentral describes it as "bacterial SSU rRNA". It matches the Rfam family "Bacterial small subunit ribosomal RNA", at positions 355 to 825 of the family's 1533-position model. The record is from RNAcentral.